This 25-nucleotide non-coding RNA is filed under the name Drosophila melanogaster (fruit fly). Lineage: Eukaryota; Metazoa; Arthropoda; Insecta; Diptera; Drosophilidae. The record is from RNAcentral.
UACUGAGUAGAGCAACGGUCCCACU